This 913-nucleotide unclassified non-coding RNA is filed under the name Hevea brasiliensis (rubber tree). The record is from RNAcentral. Lineage: Eukaryota; Viridiplantae; Streptophyta; Magnoliopsida; Malpighiales; Euphorbiaceae.
ACUCCGACGUCCAGAGAUGAGGAUGAUACCUGAGGUUGCAUGAACUCGAUCAGAACUUCCUUAAUUCCGGAUUAUUAAUCGCUAAUUUCGAUUAAUUAAUUGUGAUUAGAAAACUUACACUGUGGCUCAAGCACUGUGUGUUGUAGCCGUUGGCAAACGGUUUGGAUCCAGUGAAAUCGAAAUCAAAGCAGAGAUCGUUCACUAAUCGAGCUUGAACGCUCUUGCUUUGCACAGGCACAACGCCAUCUGUGCCGGAGCCGUUCUGCUCCUGUUCUUCGAGUUUGGGAUCCACCGGAGGGGCAUAAUCCAGAUUCAAAUAGGGGUCCAUAUCCGAGAACACAUAUGAACCUGUAAUUAGACCCGCACUCUCCAUCACUUUCGGGUUGGGAGGAUUUGGAAGAAGCCACGAGGCUGUCUCCGCUUCCUCCCUGUUGACAUCGGCGUCUCCAUCCACGUCAGACAGGUAACAGUCAUCAAGGAAGUUUACAGCGUUAGGCUUAACAGCAGGAGCCGAACCAACCGAUUCGUAGAACGGCGUCACAGGAACUCGCUCGUGUCGGCGAGCCAGUGGAUUGGCGCAGUGAAUGUCACGAUCGCACGUGACGCAGAGGGCUGCAGCGUCGGCCUUGCAAGUCACAUGAGCCGGCGCUUGCUCGCACACCUCACAAACCCACACACGAGCGUGCCGCGAGGCAAGCUUGUUGGCGGCGUGGACCUUAGAGUCACAGUUGAUGCAGAGAAACGCCGAGUCAGCUCGGCAGAAGAGAGUUGCCGUUGCCGACUUGCAGGAAUCACAGAGCUUGUAAGCCAUUACCAAGUAUAUGCGGAUGAAAAGAUGAACUCAGGCUGGCCUGGCACAGUCUUCUUUUGUGUAUUUUCCGUUUACUGUAGCGAGAGGAGCGAGUAUGAUACU